UUAUAUAUAUAUACAUGUAUAUAUAUAUUAUUUAUUAAAUCAGGAUAUAUUACAUUUAAAUUUCAUAAUGUAGGCUAAUUUUAUAAUUUAACAUGAUUAAGAUUUAAGAACUGGUGAAGGAAAUAUAGAAGUGAAGAUGAAGCAGUGAGCAAGAGAAUAGUUUAAUAAAUAGGUCAAAUUUGAGGAUUUUUUUUUCACUAGUGCAUUUGAGAGUGAAUUUUAAUAAAAAUCAUGGAAAGUCAUUUAUUUAUGAAAUGUUAAUCUGCUGGCAUCAUGCUGUGUAUAUAAGCUGACAUUUUCAUCUUUUCAAAAACCCAGCCCCAUCUCUUGAACCCAUUGUAUUUCCACCCAUGUCUGUCUUACUCCACCAGGUCAUGGUUGAAAGGACUAUAGAGUCAUGCAAUCAUUUCUGCACAUUCUUGUUUUCAACAUGUCAGCCGUCUCUCACCAAGGCAGGGUGAUCAAAAAAAGAAACACUCACCAUCAUUCACAUACAAUCAUUGUCUUUGCAGAUGCGCCCAGAUACAACAGUUUAGAUGUCACUCGAAACAGCCAAUAUCCCAAACCUUUCCUUUAAAAUGCAGACAUUGUACUUCCCACCUCCAAGACUCAAGUCCGGCAAUCUCACACAAGUGAGUCAAAAGCAUAUCAGUCCCCAGUGUUUUUUCCAUUUCAUAGUUUUUUCUUACAAGAUCAAGUCACUUUUCUUCUAAGAACUACUUUCUACUCCUUCUCUUCUCUUCUCCAUUAAUCCCACAUGGAUAAUCAAUUUCUUAUUAUUUAUUUAACAUUUAUUGGAUUCUUGGAAUUAAUCCUUGCAUGAUUCUGUAUCUCCUGUCUCUUAAUUUAGUUGUCUAUUCCUCCCCAAUUAUCAUGCAAUACAAAAAAAUCCUGAACAACAUAUGUUCCUCAAAGCUCAUGUGUUACAUGAAACCAUGUUAAUUAGGCUGAAGAAUGUAUGCAGUAUAUGGGAAAAAUAAGGCUGCGUUUCCAACACUUCUUUGAUUUUUUUUUUUUUUUUUUUUUUUUUAAGUCUCUUAAUUUAAAAAAGAAAAAUCACCUUAAAUUCUACUUUCAGGUAUGUACAUGUUAAUGACUUUGAGAGGAGUGGAGGGUUUGUGUAGCCAUACUGACAUACCUUCGAGAAUUGGGCUUCAAGAAUUUCACUACCCCUGCAGCAUGGCCUUACCUAGGCUAGGUUUACCUGCUGCUUUUCUGGUGAAGCAGGCUGUUGCUAUUGGUGGCUCACCACCACACAUACCCAUCAUAGACUGCUUGAUCUGGCACUUGGCAGAGCUUUCAGUGGGGAAGGAAGGUUCUGUGAUGCCAUUGAAGAGUUAUUCUAAGGAACUGGAGCUACCUCACCAUUUCCCCAGAUGCUGUAGGACUAACAGGAUAACCUUGGGAUGGACGGACCUGAACGAAAUGCCUCAAGAAAAUCCAUACACUGCAAGUGUGGUAAGCAUAGAGAGGGAGGGAGGCUCUUCUAUGUAUUUAAAACCUUUUUC
Non-coding RNA from Cherax quadricarinatus, 1508 nucleotides. NCBI's taxonomy places the organism in Eukaryota, Metazoa, Arthropoda, Malacostraca, Decapoda, Parastacidae. The record is from RefSeq and is a predicted model, not a curated record.